GAUGAACGCUGGCGGCGUGCCUAAUACAUGCAAGUCGAGCGAACGGACGAGAAGCUUGCUGCUCUGAUGUUAGCGGCGGACGGGUGAGUAACACGUGGAGAACCUACCUAUAAGACUGGGAUAACUUCGGGAAACCGGAGCUAAUACCGGAUAAUAUUUUGAACCGCAUGGUUCAAAAGUGAAAGAAGGUCUUGCUGUCACUUAUAGAUGGAUCCGCGCUGCAUUAGCUAGUUGGUAAGGUAACGGCUUACCAAGGCAACGAUGCAUAGCCGACCUGAGAGGGUGAUCGGCCACACUGGAACUGCGACACGGUCCAGACUCCUACGGGAGGCAGCAGUAGGGAAUAUUCCGCAAUGGGCGACAGCCUGACGGAGCAACGCCGCGUGAGUGAUGAAGGUCUUCUGAUCGUAAAACUCUGUUAUUAGGGAAGAACAUAUGUGUAAGUAACUGUGCACAUCUUGACGGUACCUAAUCAGAAAGCCACGGCUAACUACGUG
RNAcentral lists this ribosomal RNA (497 nucleotides) under uncultured bacterium. RNAcentral describes it as "partial 16S ribosomal RNA". It matches the Rfam family "Bacterial small subunit ribosomal RNA", at positions 28 to 507 of the family's 1533-position model. The record is from RNAcentral.